Molecule: transfer RNA, 76 nt
Filed under: Acinetobacter phage TAC1
Lineage: Duplodnaviria; Heunggongvirae; Uroviricota; Caudoviricetes; Luriaviridae
Also listed under: 3 other names
Description: tRNA-Pro
Rfam family: tRNA
About the family: Transfer RNA (tRNA) molecules are approximately 80 nucleotides in length. Their secondary structure includes four short double-helical elements and three loops (D, anti-codon, and T loops). Further hydrogen bonds mediate the characteristic L-shaped molecular structure. tRNAs have two regions of fundamental functional importance: the anti-codon, which is responsible for specific mRNA codon recognition, and the 3' end, to which the tRNAs corresponding amino acid is attached (by aminoacyl-tRNA synthetases). tRNAs cope with the degeneracy of the genetic code in two manners: having more than one tRNA (with a specific anti-codon) for a particular amino acid; and 'wobble' base-pairing, i.e. permitting non-standard base-pairing at the 3rd anti-codon position.
Source: RNAcentral
CAAGGAAUAGCUCAGUUGGUAGAGUUCUGCAUUUGGGGUGCAGAUGUCGUAGGUUCGAAUCCUACUUCCUUGACCA